AUUGAACGCUGGCGGCAUGCUUUACACAUGCGAGUCGAACGGUAACAGGCCGCAGGGUGCUGACGAGUGGCGAACGGGUGAGUAAUGCAUCGGAACGUGCCCAGUCGUGGGGGAUAACUACUCGAAAGAGUAGCUAAUACCGCAUACGAUCUAUGGAUGAAAGCGGGGGACCGUAAGGCCUCGCGCGAUUGGAGCGGCCGAUGUCAGAUUAGGUAGUUGGUGGGGUAAAGGCUCACCAAGCCAACGAUCUGUAGCUGGUCUGAGAGGACGACCAGCCACACUGGGACUGAGACACGGCCCAGACUCCUACGGGAGGCAGCAGUGGGGAAUUUUGGACAAUGGGCGCAAGCCUGAUCCAGCAAUGCCGCGUGCAGGAAGAAGGCCUUCGGGUUGUAAACUGCUUUUGUACGGAACGAAACGGCUCUGGUUAAUACCCGGGGCUAAUGACGGUACCGUAAGAAUAAGCACCGGCUAACUACGUG
This 482-nucleotide ribosomal RNA is filed under the name uncultured bacterium. Its description in RNAcentral is "partial 16S ribosomal RNA". It matches the Rfam family "Bacterial small subunit ribosomal RNA", at positions 30 to 507 of the family's 1533-position model. The record is from RNAcentral.